AAAACUUUUGGGAAAGAAAUUCAAUUACAAAGCUACCAAGGUCCCAACGAGGCCCCCCAGUUCCAUUUGGACCAUUAGUGGAGGUUGGAGUCGAGUAAAGAUUCAACAAAUACCAAUUAGGAGGCAGUUGAAAUCUAGGUCGAGGUGUCCACGUAGACUCGUCUCUUUGGUAGGUUUCUCGGCAUUCAAUAGCUGUACCUUCACCAAGGUUGCUCCGCUGGAAGUCGAGUGUCUUUAUGCUGUAUAUAGAUAAACGAAAUGUAA
Theobroma cacao (cacao) is the source of this 264-nucleotide non-coding RNA. The record is from RefSeq and is a predicted model, not a curated record. Lineage: Eukaryota; Viridiplantae; Streptophyta; Magnoliopsida; Malvales; Malvaceae.